CCUACGGGUGGCUGCAGUGGGGAAUAUUGGACAAUGGGCGAAAGCCUGAUCCAGCCAUGCCGCGUGUGUGAAGAAGGCCUUCGGGUUGUAAAGCACUUUCAGUGGGGAAGAAAGCCUUGGGGCUAAUACCCUCGAGGAAGGACAUCACCCACAGAAGAAGCACCGGCUAACUCCGUGCCAGCAGCCGCGGUAAUACGGAGGGUGCGAGCGUUAAUCGGAAUUACUGGGCGUAAAGCGCGCGUAGGCGGUCUGAUAAGCCGGUUGUGAAAGCCCCGGGCUCAACCUGGGAACGACAUCCGGAACUGUCAGGCUAGAGUGCAGGAGAGGAAGGUAGAAUUCCCGGUGUAGCGGUGAAAUGCGUAGAGAUCGGGAGGAAUACCAGUGGCGAAGGCGGCCUUCUGGACUGACACUGACGCUGAGGUGCGAAAGCGUGGGUAGCAAACAGGAUUAGAUACCCGAGUAGUC
Molecule: ribosomal RNA, 465 nt
Filed under: Vreelandella stevensii
Lineage: Bacteria; Pseudomonadati; Pseudomonadota; Gammaproteobacteria; Oceanospirillales; Halomonadaceae
Description: partial 16S ribosomal RNA
Rfam family: Bacterial small subunit ribosomal RNA
Source: RNAcentral